UCUAACAUGUGCGCGAGUCACUGGGAUCAAGUCUAAACCCAGAGGCGCAGUGAAAGCGUGGGGCUCGCACGGCAUAAAGCCGCUGCGAGCCGCUAAGGGAGGACGGCCGGUCGUUCCCGAACGGUGCGGCCGGCCAGCACUCCCGGGGCGCCUCGGCUCCGGCCGCAGGCGCACCCGGAGCGCACACGUUGGGACCCGAAAGAUGGUGAACUAUGCCCGGCCAGGACGAAGUCAGGGGAAACCCUGAUGGAGGUCCGCAGCGAUUCUGACGUGCAAAUCGAUCGUCAGAGCUAGGUAUAGGGGCGAAAGACUAAUCGAACCAUCUAGUAGCUGGUUCCCUCCGAAGUUUCCCUCAGGAUAGCUGGCGCCGAGUUGGAGUGGGACAGUCUCAUCCGGUAAAGCGAAUGAUUAGAGGCCUUGGGGCCGAAACGACCUCAACCUAUUCUCANACUUUAAAUGGGUGAGAUCUCCGGCUUGCUUGAGCGAAGCCGCGAGAAG
This 498-nucleotide ribosomal RNA is filed under the name Paracapritermes kraepelinii. RNAcentral describes it as "eukaryotic LSU rRNA". It matches the Rfam family "Eukaryotic large subunit ribosomal RNA", at positions 674 to 1109 of the family's 3401-position model. The record is from RNAcentral. Lineage: Eukaryota; Metazoa; Arthropoda; Insecta; Blattodea; Termitidae.